RNAcentral lists this long non-coding RNA (1435 nucleotides) under Serinus canaria (Common canary). Its description in RNAcentral is "lncRNA (ENSSCAG00000005023.1)". The record is from RNAcentral. Lineage: Eukaryota; Metazoa; Chordata; Aves; Passeriformes; Fringillidae.
GGGCACAGCCGGAUCGGGGGUGCUAAGGGUUUCUGGAGCACAGCUGGGGGUGGGGUGUGUUUUAUCCUUGUUCCUCCCUUUCGAGCAUCAAACCCCUUCCCAGCGCCCCCCUCUGCUCUCCUGAACCCCCCGGGCUGAGGAGCAAUGGGGAGGGGCUCGGGGAGGUGGGGCAGGGGCAUGGCUGGGUGUUCCCGGUGCGGGGUGGGGGUCUGGGCACCCCCUCCCCUGCUGCCACCUCAUCUUCCCCCUUACUGGGACUCCGGCUGAAUCCCGGUGGCUGAUCCCAAGGAAAUGCCUGAGGCUGGUCCAGGGGAUGCUGAUUCUCCUUGCAGGGCCCAGGUGAGGAGGAGGAAGGAGGUCUGAGCCUCUCUGCCCCACCCCAGCACCCCUGAAUCACCUGGAACAAGGGGAAGCUCCCGAGCAUCUGACAAGGAAAACCAAGGUUUGCCAAACCCAGGUCCUGGCAGGAAGAUGUGGUGAUGGUUUCCCUGGUGUCUGGAGCUGUGUGCCCUCACCUGGAGCAGCAGGAGCCUCGUGCCACCCCAAGGCAGAGAAGGAACCUUCGUCAUGUCCACCAGAACCUCUCCAGGGGACACCCCGAGCCCCCCGCGUCCCCCUGCAGUGGCGGCCGGGCGGCGGCAGAGGGCGACAGCGGCCCGGCGGUGACAGCGACACCGACACGGCCCCGACGCUGGCACCGACACGGCCCCGGCCGCGCUGCGCUGCCAGAAACUUUAUUGGGGACAAGCCACGGAGUCCCUGCGGCCCCUCCCACACACCGAGGAGGGGCUGAAGCCCCCCAGUUUUCCAUAGGUUUUGCUCCUGGCUGGGUUGUCUCCCUUAGGGAUGUCCCCACCUGUCCCUGCUCUGGAGUCUGGGGUCCCCUGUCCCCACCCUGCACCCCCCAGCUCUGGGGAACAGGCUCUUUGGACCAUUCCUGGGAAAAGAGGGAUAGAUGCUCACCAUGAGAAGCAUCACCCUCUCCCUGUACCUCAAAAAAUAGGAUUUGAGUGAUUUUACCCUCCCCUGAGGGGACCACUGGGCUACUAAGGCACAAAAUGAGGAGAAGGAGCCGGGGGGUCUCACCCUCUGGGCUCUGGGGGUGUCAAGGGAGGCUGGAACCUGGGAAAAUCCAGCACCCCACAUCCCACUCCCCAUCUUCAUCCGAGUGGGAUCGCUCCCUUUCCUGCUCCUCCACACCCCAAAAUUUAAGGCAAAACUCAUUCCUGGACCAACAAAGACGAUGCAGAGCCCUGGGGUGACGGGAGCAGCUCCAGCCCCACAAGUCCAUCCCUGGGAGGGGAACUAGGGUGAAAGGGGGGGAUCCCCAUCCCCUCCCCAUCCCCAGCCUGGCCUCAGUCGUCGGCCACAAUGGAGAGGGCGCGGAGCUCGCUGAGCUUGGCGUCGUUCUCGCGCUCACGCUGCUCGUCGCUCA